UACGGAAGGGGCAAGCGUUAAUCGGAAUUACUGGGCGUAAAGCGUGCGCAGGCGGUGAUGUAAGACAGGUGUGAAAUCCCCGGGCUUAACCUGGGAACUGCAUUUGUGACUGCAUCGCUGGAGUGCGGCAGAGGGGGAUGGAAUUCCGCGUGUAGCAGUGAAAUGCGUAGAUAUGCGGAGGAACACCGAUGGCGAAGGCAAUCCCCUGGGCCUGCACUGACGCUCAUGCACGAAAGCGUGGGGAGCAAACAGG
RNAcentral lists this ribosomal RNA (253 nucleotides) under uncultured bacterium. Its description in RNAcentral is "partial 16S ribosomal RNA". It matches the Rfam family "Bacterial small subunit ribosomal RNA", at positions 524 to 776 of the family's 1533-position model. The record is from RNAcentral.